RNAcentral lists this non-coding RNA (128 nucleotides) under uncultured Solibacillus sp. RNAcentral's name for it is "FMN riboswitch (RFN element)". It matches the Rfam family "FMN riboswitch aptamer (RFN element)". From Rfam's summary of the family: The RFN element is a highly conserved domain that is found frequently in the 5'-untranslated regions of prokaryotic mRNAs that encode for flavin mononucleotide (FMN) biosynthesis and transport proteins. This element is a metabolite-dependent riboswitch that directly binds FMN in the absence of proteins. In Bacillus subtilis, the riboswitch most likely controls gene expression by causing premature transcription termination within the 5' untranslated region of the ribDEAHT operon and precluding access to the ribosome-binding site of ypaA mRNA. Lineage: Bacteria; Bacillati; Bacillota; Bacilli; Caryophanales; Caryophanaceae. The record is from RNAcentral.
UUCCUUCGGGGUCGGGUGAAAUUCCCAAUCGACGGUGAUGAGUUAAUCUCUAAGCCCGUGAGCCGCUUUUUGUGUGCAGGAUUUGGUGCAAGUCCAAAGCCGACAGUAUAGUCUGGAUGGGAGAAGGA